UUAGCCCCCUGGCGAACGGCCGCCAGGUAAUAUUUCCCUUAAGAAAGGUGAGGAGGAUCGGAUCCGCGGUGGAGACUCUUUACCCUCAUCGGAGACGGAACGGUUACGCGUGAGUCUCAUAAGGCGGAGGCAGGAAGGGGAGAUCGUCGGAGGCGGAGCAGGCGGAGGCAAGGAAGGAAGGGGAGAUAGUCUGAACAGCGCCGCUUCAGUUUGAGUUCCAUAAGUACGAAACAAACUCAGCGCGGACCCGUCCAGCAAGAAAAGUUCAGUGAGCGAAGAUGCUAGUUCUUCCCCUCCUAGGCAGGAUCUCGGUGCGUCGCCAGCGCCCCUGGCGCGUGUGGCAGUCGGAUGACAACAAGAGUCUGGUUGACGGCCUAAAAUACGCGAGUCUUGAAGAAUGCUGCAGAUCUAAUCCGUACCGGCAUUUGGAAGGCUUAGCUGCCGAACGCCAGCUUGUGCUGAAUGGCCUCGAGCUGUACAACGCUCUGCAUCCGGGCAAUGAGUAUGAACUUGCUCCUGGUAAGGUGACCAGGAGCAGCCAACUUGGUGAUGGGUGUUGCUGGAGUCAUGGCAACUUUGUUGCUCGUCGGAAGCGCUCUGGCUGCUUCUCUUUCCUGCCGGUUCCACAAACUCUCUUUUUCUUUGAGCACGUCUGU
This is a non-coding RNA of Aegilops tauschii subsp. strangulata, 656 nucleotides long. NCBI's taxonomy places the organism in Eukaryota, Viridiplantae, Streptophyta, Magnoliopsida, Poales, Poaceae. The record is from RefSeq and is a predicted model, not a curated record.